This 482-nucleotide ribosomal RNA is filed under the name uncultured bacterium. Its description in RNAcentral is "partial 16S ribosomal RNA". It matches the Rfam family "Bacterial small subunit ribosomal RNA", at positions 30 to 507 of the family's 1533-position model. The record is from RNAcentral.
AUUGAACGCUGGCGGCAUGCUUUACACAUGCAAGUCGAACGGUAACAGCACUUCGGUGGCUGACGAGUGGCGCACGGGUGAGUAAUACAUCGGAACGUGCCUAGUAGUGGGGGAUAACUACUCGAAAGAGUAGCUAAUACCGCAUGAGAUCUAAGGAUGAAAGCAGGGGACCUUCGGGCCUUGCGCUACUAGAGCGGCUGAUGGCAGAUUAGGUAGUUGGUGGGAUAAAAGCUUACCAAGCCGACGAUCUGUAGCUGGUCUGAGAGGACGACCAGCCACACUGGGACUGAGACACGGCCCAGACUCCUACGGGAGGCAGCAGUGGGGAAUUUUGGACAAUGGGCGCAAGCCUGAUCCAGCAAUGUCGCGUGCAGGAUGAAGGCCUUCGGGUUGUAAACUGCUUUUGUACGGAACGAAAAGCCCUCUUCUAAUACAGGAGGGUCAUGACGGUACCAUAAGAAUAAGCACCGGCUAACUACGUG